CCUACGGGAGGCAGCAGUGGGGAAUUUUGGACAAUGGGCGCAAGCCUGAUCCAGCAAUGCCGCGUGAGUGAAGAAGGCCUUCGGGUUGUAAAGCUCUUUUGUCAGGGAAGAAACGGUGGGGGCUAAUAUCUCCUACUAAUGACGGUACCUGAAGAAUAAGCACCGGCUAACUACGUGCCAGCAGCCGCGGUAAUACGUAGGGUGCAAGCGUUAAUCGGAAUUACUGGGCGUAAAGCGUGCGCAGGCGGUUUUGUAAGUCUGUCGUGAAAGCCCCGGGCUCAACCUGGGAAUUGCGAUGGAGACUGCAAGGCUUGAAUCUGGCAGAGGGGGGUAGAAUUCCACGUGUAGCAGUGAAAUGCGUAGAGAUGUGGAGGAACACCGAUGGCGAAGGCAGCCCCCUGGGUCAAGAUUGACGCUCAUGCACGAAAGCGUGGGGAGCAAACAGGAUUAGAUACCCUGGUAGUCCACGCCCUAAACGAUGUCUACUAGUUGUCGGGUUUUAAUUAACUUGGUAACGCAGCUAACGCGUGAAGUAGACCGCCUGGGGAUCGGUCGCAAGAUUAAAACNAAUGAUGACGNUGAGAGNGACGAGACGACGACGAGGAGGAGG
Molecule: ribosomal RNA, 610 nt
Filed under: uncultured bacterium
Lineage: Bacteria
Description: bacterial SSU rRNA
Rfam family: Bacterial small subunit ribosomal RNA
Source: RNAcentral